AGAGCGGUCCUAGUCAAUAUAAACCCACGAAUCAUGUCAGGUCCGGAAGGAAGCAGCAUUAAGUGGUCAUUUGUAUGUGGCUAGGGCAGCCGUUCUUGA
This 99-nucleotide signal recognition particle RNA is filed under the name Macrococcoides caseolyticum. RNAcentral describes it as "Macrococcus caseolyticus Bacterial small signal recognition particle RNA". It matches the Rfam family "Bacterial small signal recognition particle RNA". Rfam says of the family: The signal recognition particle (SRP) is a universally conserved ribonucleoprotein involved in the co-translational targeting of proteins to membranes. Archaeal SRP consists of a 7S RNA and homologues of the eukaryotic SRP19 and SRP54 proteins. Lineage: Bacteria; Bacillati; Bacillota; Bacilli; Caryophanales; Staphylococcaceae. The record is from RNAcentral.